RNAcentral lists this long non-coding RNA (2197 nucleotides) under Bemisia tabaci. RNAcentral's name for it is "lncRNA ENSSSA1NGG008251". The record is from RNAcentral. Lineage: Eukaryota; Metazoa; Arthropoda; Insecta; Hemiptera; Aleyrodidae.
UAGUCGUGCUAUGUCUGUUUCACCCAUGAAUGUUUUUAUUGUGAUACAAUCGUCUAGAUACCGUGUUAACAGCAGGCUGAUUUUUGCAAUUGAUAGACGAAGUGAUGGAAAGUGGAGCGAUCCUAUUGGCAGAAACGAGUGGUAAUUAUAGACAAAGAUAGAAAGUGAUUUGCCGUUGUUUGGUUUGUCCAUUAUAAACACUCGCCUUCAUCGAGAGGAUCGUCCAUAUUUCCAUCGCCUUGUCUCUCAAUCUUAAUCAUCAGCCGUUGGGUAAGGAAAUCUUGUGAUGAUAAAUCUCCAUGAUUACAGGUGAGCGGAGAUAAAGAGCAGAAACACCAAGGGGUAUCAAUACCGCGAAUGAUUCGGCCCUGUUUCCGGGGCUCGGGACCAAACAUAGAACUCUGCGAGGAAUGCAUUGAUUCAUGCCAGUCGGUGGGUAACGAGUUGGAAUACUGCGAAGCCAAACGUUGCAGAAGACUCUGUAGAGGAGAGGCCUCCCUCAUCUGCCAGAACUAAGGUGCCCAUCGGAAUCCAUUGGCAACUCUUUCCAGUAAGAUGAAGUUGCUUUACAAGAUCACUCUUGGCUUUGUCUUUACCUCAGCAUUAUUGAUGCUCAUUAGAUCGGAAGAGAAGGAAGAUGAAAUCCUCGCUGGUUUGAGGACGAGGACGGAUAGUAAAUGUCUGAAUUGCAUGAUAAAAUGCAUGCAGAGGAGGAAGGACAAAUCUUUCAAAAGCUGUUUAGAAUUCGUUUGCCCUCUGUCCUGUGAAAGCGCAUUACUCAUCGCUCAAUAAAUUCUUUGCCUGGAUUUCCAUCGUUGGCACACGGUUAUUGGUCAUGGUCAAGUGACGUCUUCACGCCGGAAUGACCAUCCAUGAGCCGUCCCAUGUUCUUAACCUCGACUCUUUACCAUUCUCAUCGUGAUUUACAAAAAUGUGCCGCCCCUCAAACCAAAAACUUCUCUCAGUAUGUUGUCGUCAAUUUUCACAAAAUAACAUCUUCCAAAAUCUAAUUGAGCCGAUAUAAGUUUGUGUAUUUAUCAUUUUCUUGUUGUUCGUUUUUCUUUGAUAGGACCGAUUUGGAAUUAAAAAAACAAGGAGAUCUAUCCAACAUGAAUAUGUUAGAUAUAUCUUCUUGAUUAUUUUUCAUAAAAAUUGUAUUUUCCAGAUGCGUAUUGCCGUAGUUUCUCCAUCGAUAGAAGUGACAUCUGUGAAAAGGGACCUUAUCUCCCGAGUGCAUAUUGUCUAGGAGAGUCGAAAAUACGAGAAAAGCUUAUAAUUGGCAGUUUUGAGUUUCCGAUGGCAUUAAAUUCACCUCAGAAGCCUUGGAAACAAGCUUUGCACGAUUUUAGUUUGCUUUUCUCACCAGUGAAGGCGAUAGCUACCCCUUUUUUUGUGGCAUGUCAGAAUUGUUCACCUAAACUGAACCUAAAAAUAUUAACAUAAACUUUUUCUUCUUCUGUGUGUCUUGUGGCACAUCCAAUUGUCGUGCCUACAGCCAAGCAUAGAUCGCAUGGGUUUCUUACGGGGACACUACUGCAACAGCCAUGUGCCAUCCACACAUGGGGAGCUAUGUUGCAUCUAGGAAAUAGUGCGGGUCGGGGUCGAGGGGGAAAACGGUGUGAAGGGUAGUAAAAGAAUAGAAAAUGGAGUUAAAAGGAAGAAAUAAAAUUGGUGGAAAAGGAUAUACUUGGGAAGAAUUUUAAAGAUGGCCUAUAAAGUAACAUCACGUAGCUUAUGAGUAGUCGAGCAGCGCGACCUAUACGGAAUUUUGGAGGGAGCAUACACACGACACUAGAACCUAAGUAAGUAAGUAAGUAAGUAAGUAAGUAAGUAAGUAAGUAAGUAAGAAAGUAAAGCCGAACUGACCGGCGAGGCGCCCUCAAGGGCCAAGGCAACUGGCAGCUGCCGUCGUCGUGCACCCCGAAGUUGGACUGUGAUCCUUAACCUCAAAUCAUUGAACAAUUGUGUAUCCGCUAUAUUCCCGCAAAGCUCAGCGGCCGUCUGAUAGCCAACGGUAGGUCUUAUCAAAGACUGUGGCAGACGCUGGAAAGCACGGAUUUUCGAGCACGGCCAUGCCCAAAGACAUAAAGACGAAGUGCUCGUAUCUAAAAGCACGGGGAAGAAGUGAAGCCUGGUUUGGCUCUGGGUGCUUGUGUGAGUGUGUAAAUGAGCGCGGGAAUCCAUGGCGGCAAACGGA